CAGAAAGCCACGGCUAACUACGUGCCAGCAGCCGCGGUAAUACGUAGGUGGCAAGCGUUAUCCCGGAUUUAUUGGGCGUAAAGCGAUCGCAGGCGGUUUUUUAAGUCUGAUGUGAAAGCCCUCGGGCUCAACCCGGGGAGGGUCAUCGGAAACUUGGGGAACUUUGAGUGCAGAAGAGGACAGUGGAACUCCACGUGUAGCGGUGAAAAUGCGUAGAUAUGUGGAAGAACACCAGUGGCGAAGGCGACUUCUCUGGUCUGUAAACUGACGCUGAGGAUCGAAAGCAUGGGUAGCGAACAGGAUUAGAUACCCUGGUAGUCCACGCCGUAAACGAUGAGUGCUAAGUGUUAGAGGGUUUCCGCCCCUCAGUGCUGCAGCUAACGCAUUAAGCACUCCGCCUGGGGAGUACGGUCGCAAGACUGAAACUCAAAGGAAUUGACGGGGGCCCGCACAAGCGGUGGAGCAUGUGGUUUAAUUCGAAGCAACGCGAAGAACCUUACCAGGUCUUGACAUCGUUUGACCAUCUGAGAGAUCGGAUGUCCCCUUCGGGGGCAGAGUGACAGGUGGUGCAUGGUUGUCGUCAGCUCGUGUCGUGAGAUGUUGGG
RNAcentral lists this ribosomal RNA (605 nucleotides) under Lactiplantibacillus plantarum. RNAcentral's name for it is "bacterial SSU rRNA". It matches the Rfam family "Bacterial small subunit ribosomal RNA", at positions 484 to 1079 of the family's 1533-position model. The record is from RNAcentral. Lineage: Bacteria; Bacillati; Bacillota; Bacilli; Lactobacillales; Lactobacillaceae.